Molecule: long non-coding RNA, 7228 nt
Filed under: Malus domestica (apple)
Lineage: Eukaryota; Viridiplantae; Streptophyta; Magnoliopsida; Rosales; Rosaceae
Description: long non-coding RNA (MDOM_LNC011590)
Source: RNAcentral
AUUGGAAGGAAAUGCAUUGCAUGAUGGAUUUAACUGAUUUAAGUUGAUUAUAUAGCAAGCUGGCAAACAUUGUAAGUGUAGAAAAUAUAUAGUAAUUAAUAAAAUAAGUUUAAACACACCAUAAUCAUUUAUAUAUAAUGAAUUAGUACAAUAUUUUACACUUUAUACAUUGUAUGGUAAGAUACAUGAGUGACUUAGCAUCACAUAGAAUGAACGUGGUGAGUAGUUCAAAAGUAGAUACUUGAAAAGAAAUUAAUCAAAUUUUAGUAUGAUGUAAUUAUUUGGACUUGAUUUAAAAUAGAAAUUAAUCAUAUAUAAUAUAUGUAACUGAAAAAAAAAUAAUCAAAUUUUAAUAUGAUGUAAUUAUUUGGAUUUGAUUUAAAAUAGAAAUUUAUCAUAUAUAAUAUAUGUAACUGAAAAAAAAAAAAAUCAAAUUUUAAUAUGAUGUAAUUAUUUGGACUUGAUUUAAAAUAGAAAUUUAUCAUAUAGAAUAUAUGUAACUGAAAAAAAAAAUUAAUCAAAUUUUAAUAUGAUGUAAUUAUUUGGACUUGAUUUCUCUUUAUACAUAUAUUCUUCUUCCUAUUUUCUAGUAUUUCAGUUUAGUAAGUAAUUUUAAAUUUCGAAGACGAAAUUCUUUUAAGAGGGGUAGAUUGUUACACCCACCCCCAAUUUAAAUUGUAUUUUCAUUUAUCUUACUUUUAAAAUUAUUUUUUGAUCUUAAUAGGUGUGCCCAGGGCCCACCUUGCUUUUGUGUCACCGUCUCUCUUUUCUCUCAGAUCUCUCUUUUCCCUCACUCUCUCAUCUCUACCGUGCUCUCUCUCUCUGCACUCUCUGCACUUUCUCCUUCUCCCCGUGAACCAACCCACACGCCACACCCUCACUUUCACACCACUUAAACGGCGACACCCCCUCAUCGCUCUCUGCACUCUCUCCUUCUCCCCGUGAACAACCCUCAUUCUCCCUCUUCGCCCUCUCUGCACUCUCUGCACUCUCUGCACUCUCUGCACUCUCUGCUUCUCCCCGUGAACAACCCACACCCUCACUUCCACACCACAUCAACGGCGACACCACCUCAUCGCCAUCUCCGUCUCUACGUCUCUGCCUCGGUCUCUCCGUCUCCGUCUCUCCCUCAGUCUCUCCGUCUUCGUCUCUGCCUCGGUCUCUCCGUCUCCGUCUCUCCGUCUCCGUCUCUCCCUCGGUCUCUCCGUCUCCGUCUCUGCCUCGGUCUCUCCGUCUCCGUCUCUGCCUCGGUCUCUCCGUCUCCGUCUCUCCCUCGGUCUCUCCGUCUUCGUCUCUCCCUCGGUCUCUCCGUCUUCGUCUCUCCCGCGAUCUGGAUCCUUCUUCUUCUAUCUGGUUUCUGGAUCCUUCUUCUUCGAUCGGGUUUCUGGAUCCAUCUUCUUCGAUCUCUCUUCUCCCAAACACACACACACAAAGAUCGCCGUUGAUCGUGGCUCAGGCGAAGUCAGAGGUGCGCCGCGGAGCAAGGAUCGUUCGUAUUCCGCUUCGUCAGGUGAGAUUCCAUGAAACCCUAAACCCUAAUCUCUCCGACUUCACCUUGCCUUGAAUCGUUUGUAUAUUUGUGAAAUCUGAUGUAUAUUUGUGAAAUUAAUGUUAAGAUUUGUGUUUUUGCAAGGUUUUUGGGACGAAACCGGCCCGGGAAUCGCCCCACGGUCUCCGGCGUUCUUCUCCGACGUCGCCUCGGAUUCCGAUUCCACCGUCCAUGGAUAUUUCGCCGAUAAUUUCCAAAUAUCGCGAUAUUAUCGAUAUUAUCGAUAAUAUCGCGAUAUUUGGCCGAAAACCCCACGGAAACCAGUUAAAAUAUCGCCGACCGGAAAAAUCGAUAUUAUCGGCGAAAUAUCGCCGAUAAUAUCGAUAUUUAAAUCUGUGCUCUUAACCAACUGAAUUAUAAACCUUUUACUUAUGCAAGGUAUACAUCCGAUAGGUGCCUUUUUUAUUUUUAAUCUCAUUUCUUAGUUGAUUGCAUAAAGUGUUAAAAAAAAAAACUAACAAUAAUUAAUGGGGUCAUAUAUAGGAGUCUUUCAGUGUGAAUGUCAUCUUGUUUUCAUUUUCAAAUAAAAGUUUUGAGAUUGAUGAUUGGGUUAAAACAAAAUUAACCAGCACUAAAUUAUCCAAAAUCAUUGUGAGCGCAAUAAUUUCACUAUAUAUCUUACAUUUUAACAUGAACAUUCUAGGCUAGAGGUGACAAGUACCCAUUGGAUUGUUAAUGAAUAUUCAUUAAGACCCAUUUAAUAUGAUUUCACCUUACAUCAUCAUCAUCAUUACCGAUCUCACCUCUAUAUUAUAUCAAAUUAAACGGGCCUUAAUAGACCCAUUAACAACCCAAUGAGUUGAUUGCCACCUCUAUAACUAUGAAUUGUCCAAAUCAUGAAAUUUCUGAUGUAAUAGGUACUAACUAAUAUGACAGAGAUAAUGUUAAGUCACUUGGACUACUAUAAUUCCAAAAAGCUUUACUCAAAUUAAUUGAUCAUUAAGGGGGAAUGCAUAUACGUGUCACAUUAAUCGUACUAGUAUUUCUUGUUGGCAUUUAUUAAGUAUGAUCAUGGACGUCUCUGAAACACAACCAACCAAUAUGUAUAUAGUCUAAGUCCUGAUAACGAUCUUAACAUAGUACAGACAUAUCAAAUUAGCUGCGCUCGCUUUCAUUUGACUAUCAAUCUUCUGAGUUGUCCUAUAAAACCUUAAUUCUAACUUGGCUUAUUCAUGGAGUACUCGUGCAUGCAUGUUGUUGCUCUUAACAACCUCAAUUAUUUCAAAAUCUUAAGACAAAAAGGGACCACGUUAUAUGCCUAUUUGCUGGCCAAGGCAUGCACUAUUCUUGUUGAAGGGAAACUUUCAUGGUUCUUGAAAUAUGGUCAUGUGUCGCUAUUAUUUCAUUCAAAUUAUAACACGUAUAUUUAUUGUGAUUGAUAACCAUUGAAGUGAGGCAACCUUUCAUCUUUGUUAUAGUGCGAUGAUCAUGCACCGCAGAACUUGUAUUCUUGAUACCUAUAUAAAUUUCUCGUUUUUGUUAUUGGUAGGUUAAAUUAGUUCUCUUUUGCAAUUCGAUAUUGUAUAUACUAGUCAUACAAGGGUAUAGCUUUCUAAGAAAGAUAUCAAACUUGGGCAUUUGAAGGGGUUUGGGAAGUGACCACAUUAUUGGUCCUAUGUUUCUUCUUUCAUUUAAUCUCAUUUCUCAGUUGAUUGCAUAAAGUGUUAAAAAAAAAAAAACUAACAAUAAUUAAUGGGGUCAUAUAUAGGAGUCUUUCAGUGUGAAUGUCAUCUUGUUUUCAUUUUCAGAUAAAAGUUUGAGAUUGAUGAUUGGAUUAAAACAAAAUUAACCAGCACUAAAUUAUCCAAAAUCAUUGUGAGCGCAAUAAUUUCACUAUAUAUCUUACAUUUUAACAUGAACAUUCUAGGCUAGAGGUGACAAGUACUCAUUGGAUUGUUAAUGAAUAUUCAUUAAGACCCAUUUAAUAUGAUUUCACCUUACAUCAUCAUCAUCAUUACCGAUCUCACCUCUAUAUUAUAUCAAAUUAAACGGGUCUUAAUAGACCCAUUAACAAUCCAAUGAGUUGAUUGCCACCUCUAUAACUAUGAAUUGUCCAAAAUCAUGAAAUUUCUGAUGUAAUAGGUACUAACUAAUAAUGUUAAGUCACUUGGACUACUAAUUCCAAAAAGCUUUACUCAAAUUAAUUGAUCAUUAAGGGGGAAUGCAUAUACGUGUCACAUUAAUCGUACUAGUAUUUCUUGUUGGCAUUUGUUAAGUAUGAUCAUGGACGUCUCUGAAACACAACCAACCAAUAUGUAUAUAGUCUAAGUCCUGAUAACGAUCUUAAGAUAUUACAGACAUAUCAAAUUAGCUGCUCUCGCUUUCAUUUGACUAUCAAUCUUCUGAGUUGUCCUAUAAAACCUUAAUUCUAACUUGGCUUAUUCAUGGAGUACUCGUGCAUGCAUGUUGUUACUCUUAACAACCUCAAUUAUUUCAAAAUCUCAAGACAAAAAGGGACCACGUUAUAUGCCUAUUUGAUGGCCAAGGCAUGCACUAUUCUUGUUGAAGGGAAACUUUCAUGGUUCUUGAAAUGUGGUCAUGUGUCGCUAUUAUUUCAUUCAAAUUAUAACACGUAUAUUUAUUGUGAUUGAUAACCAUUGAAGCGAGGCAACCUUUCAUCUUUGUUAUAGUGCGAUGAUCAUGCACCACACAACUUGUAUUCUUGAUACCUAUAUAAAUUUCUCGUUUUUGUUCUUGGUAGGUUAAAUUAGUUCUCUUUUGCAAUUCGAUAUUGUAUAUACUAGUCAUACAAGGGUAUAGCUUUCUAAGAAAGAUAUCAAACUUGGGCAUUUGAAGGGGUUUGGGAAGUGACCACAUUAUUGGUCCUAUGUUUCUUCUUUCAUGUAAGCUAAUGCCUUUUUUUUAUCGACCCUAUUUCGGUCUCACCCUCAUUUGGUCUUAGGUUUCUUCUUUAGUGUAAGUAAGCUUUCAUAGGGUUCGCUUUCCUUUUAUCCAUAUCUUGGUGUUUGCACACCCUCUAGGAAAGUUGAAAAGUGUGAGGUGCUCUCUGGUCUCAAGUGUUCUUGUCUCUAGGUGGUUGCUUCACAUUCUUUGAAUCCACAACCCAUAAGUUUGUCUCAUAUGUUGCUAAGAAUGUGAGUUAUAAACAAUUUUUAAUCUGAUAGUAUUUCUCUUUCGAUGUUGAAACUUAAACUCAAACCCUUAGUUUUCACAUGAUAAAGAAAAGAAUUUGGAGCACAUUUUCAAGCUGAAGCUGCUGAACUGUGAUGGAAAUGUCAAUUCUUCUAGCGUGAAACUAAGGAAACUAAUUGAUAAACCCCAGUUGCGUGUUCUCCCAACUGUUUUUGGUUCCAAACUUCCAAACCAACUGGACAACUCAUCAGGAACUUUACUAGUGAACUUGUAGACGGCCGCAAUGUGAGACAAUUGAUCGAGUGCAGAGCCAUCAAAUUAAGUUUGAAACGGAAACGGAACUUCCAUCCAGGAACCUCUGCUAAUUUGAUUGAUUUAAUCACAUAAUGUGCGAGCCAUAGUUUAGUUCAACAAAUUAGUAGACAGAUGUCAUUGGAUUAAUUGUUAAGUACAGCUAUCAUUAUUUGAGAAGAAAAAUUGGUUUUUGAGUCUUGACAUGUUUAUCUCAUAUGGAGUGACAAUUUUUUGUUUAAUAUAUAAUGAGAAAUCUUUAUAAACCAAACAUUACAUGGUAAAGAUACAAUGAUAGGCUUCUAAAUGAUUAUGUGACAAACUCAAAGAUCCAUUUGAGUGAAAACAAGAAAUAAAAAUGUGGAUAUUGGAUAAUCGUUCCCACUUUUCCACUUGAUUACAAAAUAUAGUAGUAAUCAUGCUUGUCACUCACAAUUGAAUUAAUGGUGCUACUCGUAGCAACUCCACUCCAUAAAAUCUCCCUUGCAAUUGGGUGAUUUUGCAAUUGGGUGAUUGAAUCCUCCCAACCCAAAAAAAUUGCUCCAACCCUUGCUAAUUGUCUCACCUAUUGGGUGGGCCCAACUCCCACAGACUAAGCAAUCGGGAGAAAAUGGCUUGAUACCUCGCUUGAGGCUAUCUGACCUCAACUUGACGUCAAGGUGACCCUUUUUAUUAUUAUUUUUUUUUGCAUCAUGCACAUGUGCGCGUAGAUGCGAGUCGUCCGACAAAAAUCCAGGCAGAGGGCCCGUGCUGCAGUAGACUGUUAAUCUGAGCUGUUAGAUUUCCCAAAUCCGAUGGUCCUUUUUAAUCCUGUUUUUUUAAUAUUCAAAAAAUACUAUAAAAGACUUAUUCACACAACCUAGACUCUUGGAUUGAAAAAAAAAAGUUCAUCCAACGGUCCAAAUGAAUUAUUAAUUAUGUCAUUAAAUAUGUUUAAAAAUUAAAAUUAAAUACAAAAAAAAAAUUAAAAUUAAGAGAAUAUGAAUUGUGGCAUGACCAGGAUGGGGUUGUAAUUUCGGAUAAAAUCACGUGACUUGAUGCGAUUGUUAAAAAUCUUAUUAAAAAAUAAACAUAACAUGAAUUUUUUCUAAAAACAUUAAUUUUUCUAAUAUCAAUAACUCCGCAAUUCAUUUAAGAGUGAAGAUACACUUAGACAAUUACUUUUUACAAAAGUAAUAAUUGCUAAUUGCCCAAUCGUCUAAACUAUUAUUGCCCUAAGGAGUGGGGUUGCUCUUAAGGCUGCAAAGUCAUUAAGCUUCUCUCUUUCUUUGCUUUGAUAAAUACAUUUAGGCUGAGUCAUGUAUACGAGGAGGAAAAUCAAAUAUUUAUAUAGAGAAAUUUGAAAUGUCACAGUAUAUCAAUCAAUAUUCUAAACUUUUAUACACUGUUACUUUCAUAUCUUCCCAAAUGCAUAAAGCUCUUCUCUUAACUGCGCAUAAAUGAAUCUAAGCGGCUGAGUCAACGGCACACUUGUGGUGGCUGAACAUAACAUAAUUUUUGCAUUUAACGUAACCGCACAGAACGUAUUCGUAAUCUGAAUGAAAAUAUGGAAUUGAAUUCUGAUUAUGGAGUACUUCGGUGUUUACUAAAUAUGGAGGAGUAGUGGGGCCCACACAAAUUUUGGAAUUCAAUUCCUUAUAUUGGUGGAAUUGGAUUCCCUAGAUGUAGGUGGUAAUCAAAUUCCUGCAUUGCUUGGGCAAUCAGAAUGACACUUUUGUUCUCUUUAUGCCCUCACUUACUUUUUUUAUUUCCAAUACUAUCCUUUAUAAACCCGUUAACCCUAGUUUAAUUAUGCACAACUCCUUACCUUUUUUUUAUUUUCAUGCUCAUUCACAUUAUGCACAACUCCAUGCAUAUGCCAAAGAGAAGAAACUACUACUUGAGCGAGAAAUUUUAAAUAUUAAAGUAAAUACCUAAAUUUAAAAAAAAUAAAUAAACAAAAGCAUUUUAAUGUGUCUAAGAAAUAAAAAAGCAAUUUAAUUUUUUCUUACUAUUAUACUAUGAUAUCAAGUUUUAUUAAAAAUAUAUAUAAAAUAUUGAUUUGGGACAAGGGUAUUUUAGUAAUCAUACUGGUUUAUAUUCCGAUUCUGUUGAAUUAAUAAACAGCUUUAUGGAAUUCUAUUCCGAUUCUAGAACAUUUAAGUAAACAGCUUCAACCGGAAUCUGAUUCUAACUUCUCCUCAUUCCAACUCCUCCUCAAUUCAAUUUCUCCUCAAUUUAAUUUCUUCUAUUUUCAUUAUGGUUACGUAAACGCACCAUUACUGUUCCUAGCUAGUAAUAGUCAGCAUAAUCUAA